GCCUCCCUAGCUCAGCGGUAGAGCAGCUCAUUCGUAAUGAGCAGGUCGCCGGUUCAAAUCCGGCGGGAGGCUCCA
Molecule: transfer RNA, 75 nt
Filed under: Flavobacteriales bacterium
Lineage: Bacteria; Pseudomonadati; Bacteroidota; Flavobacteriia; Flavobacteriales
Description: tRNA-Thr
Rfam family: tRNA
About the family: Transfer RNA (tRNA) molecules are approximately 80 nucleotides in length. Their secondary structure includes four short double-helical elements and three loops (D, anti-codon, and T loops). Further hydrogen bonds mediate the characteristic L-shaped molecular structure. tRNAs have two regions of fundamental functional importance: the anti-codon, which is responsible for specific mRNA codon recognition, and the 3' end, to which the tRNAs corresponding amino acid is attached (by aminoacyl-tRNA synthetases). tRNAs cope with the degeneracy of the genetic code in two manners: having more than one tRNA (with a specific anti-codon) for a particular amino acid; and 'wobble' base-pairing, i.e. permitting non-standard base-pairing at the 3rd anti-codon position.
Source: RNAcentral